UACGGAGGAUGCAAGCGUUAUCCGGAUUCAUUGGGUUUAAAGGGUGCGUAGGCGGGCUUAUAAGUCAGAGGUGAAAUCCGGCAGCUCAACUGUCGAACUGCCUUUGAUACUGUAAGCCUAGAGUUAAGUUGAGGCAGGCGGAAUAUGACAUGUAGCGGUGAAAUGCUUAGAUAUGUCAUAGAACACCGAUAGCGAAGGCAGCCUGCCAAAACUUAUACUGACGCUGAUGCACGAAAGCGUGGGUAGCGAACAGG
Molecule: ribosomal RNA, 254 nt
Filed under: uncultured bacterium
Lineage: Bacteria
Description: partial 16S ribosomal RNA
Rfam family: Bacterial small subunit ribosomal RNA
Source: RNAcentral